This 293-nucleotide unclassified non-coding RNA is filed under the name Hevea brasiliensis (rubber tree). The record is from RNAcentral. Lineage: Eukaryota; Viridiplantae; Streptophyta; Magnoliopsida; Malpighiales; Euphorbiaceae.
UUUUGAAAGAGGAAGCGGGAGAAUGAUCUGUCAGUGACCGGUGCUUCGAUUAGCCUUAGGUGAGUUUAUUGUUGGAGAACAUAUUCAAUUUUAUGUUUGCCAUGACAUAGACGAAGUGAUCCCUUAGUCCUUCGGAAGAUCUCGUUGACCCAGCUGAAACGGAUUUAAUAUCUCAUAUUCAUGAAUGAUAUGCUACGAGCUGCAGCCACAAUAGGUCCUUACAUUUUCGUGGAGUGUAUACUUGUAUAUAUUUACAUUUGUAAUUAGCAAAAUAUUAAUUGGUUUGAAAUCAG